Molecule: long non-coding RNA, 282 nt
Filed under: Brassica napus (rape)
Lineage: Eukaryota; Viridiplantae; Streptophyta; Magnoliopsida; Brassicales; Brassicaceae
Description: long non-coding RNA (BNAP_LNC024070)
Source: RNAcentral
AUAACCCGAAAUACCAUAAAACAAGAUCCAUUCGGUAUUUACAUCGGGUUCGGAUCGGUUCGGAUUCAUUUUUUUCGGAUCGGAUUCGGUUCGGGUUUUCGGGUUCAGUUUAUUUGCCCAGCCCUAGGAAGAAUAGCUAGAUUCAGGUAUGACAAGUAAAAAUUAAAUUGGGUUUUUAGGGGUUUAUUGAUAUUAAUUGUUCUUGAAUUCAAACUAAGAUAUAAUCAAUCUGAUUAUCUAAUCUGGAUCUUGGAUUUCAACUCUCGUAUGUUAAUCACGAGA